Molecule: ribosomal RNA, 301 nt
Filed under: uncultured bacterium
Lineage: Bacteria
Description: partial 16S ribosomal RNA
Rfam family: Bacterial small subunit ribosomal RNA
Source: RNAcentral
CAGCCGCCACGGUAAUACGUAGGUGGCAAGCGUUGUCCGGAAUUAUUGGGCGUAAAGGGCUCGCAGGCGGUUUCUUAAGUCUGAUGUGAAAGCCCCCGGCUCAACCGGGGAGGGUCAUUGGAAACUGGGAAACUUGAGUGCAGAAGAGGAGAGUGGAAUUCCGCGUGUAGCGGUGAAAUGCGUAGAGAUGUGGAGGAACACCAGUGGCGAAGGCGACUCUCUGGUCUGUAACUGACGCUGAGGAGCGAAAGCGUGGGGAGCGAACAGGAUUAGAUACCCCAGUAGUCCCUGUCUCUUAUAC